CCUACGGGAGGCAGCAGUGGGGAAUUUUGGACAAUGGGCGCAAGCCUGAUCCAGCCAUGCCGCGUGUGGGAAGAAGGCCUUCGGGUUGUAAACCACUUUUGUCAGGGAAGAAACGGCUUUUUCUAAUACAGAGAGCUAAUGACGGUACCUGAAGAAUAAGCACCGGCUAACUACGUGCCAGCAGCCGCGGUAAUACGUAGGGUGCAAGCGUUAAUCGGAAUUACUGGGCGUAAAGCGUGCGCAGGCGGCUUUGCAAGACAGAUGUGAAAUCCCCGGGCUCAACCUGGGAACUGCAUUUGUGACUGCAUGGCUAGAGUACGGUAGAGGGGGAUGGAAUUCCGCGUGUAGCAGUGAAAUGCGUAGAUAUGCGGAGGAACACCGAUGGCGAAGGCAAUCCCCUGGACCUGUACUGACGCUCAUGCACGAAAGCGUGGGGAGCAAACAGGAUUAGAUACCCUGGUAGUCCACGCCCUAAACGAUGUCAACUGGUUGUUGGACGGCUUGCUGUUCAGUAACGAAGCUAACGCGUGAAGUUGACCGCCUGGGGAGUACGGCCGCAAGGUUGAAACGUUUAAAGAGUAAGUUGACGG
RNAcentral lists this ribosomal RNA (590 nucleotides) under uncultured bacterium. Its description in RNAcentral is "bacterial SSU rRNA". It matches the Rfam family "Bacterial small subunit ribosomal RNA", at positions 338 to 916 of the family's 1533-position model. The record is from RNAcentral.